This 381-nucleotide ribosomal RNA is filed under the name uncultured Lachnospiraceae bacterium. Its description in RNAcentral is "bacterial SSU rRNA". It matches the Rfam family "Bacterial small subunit ribosomal RNA", at positions 355 to 752 of the family's 1533-position model. The record is from RNAcentral. Lineage: Bacteria; Bacillati; Bacillota; Clostridia; Lachnospirales; Lachnospiraceae.
UGGGGAAUAUUGCACAAUGGAGGAAACUCUGAUGCAGCGACGCCGCGUGAGUGAAGAAGUAUUUCGGUAUGUAAAGCUCUAUCAGCAGGGAAAGAAAAUGACGGUACCUGACUAAGAAGCACCGGCUAAAUACGUGCCAGCGGCCGCGGUAAUACGUAUGGUGCAAGCGUUAUCCGGAUUUACUGGGUGUAAAGGGGGCGUAGGUGGCAAGGCAAGCCAGAAGUGAAAACCCGGGGCUCAACCGCGGGAUUGCUUUUGGAACUGUCAUGCUAGAGUGCAGGAGGGGUGAGCGGAAUUCCUAGUGUAGCGGUGAAAUGCGUAGAUAUUAGGAGGAACACCGGAGGCGAAGGCGGCUCACUGGACUGUAACUGACACUGAGGC